AGUGAACGUUGGCGGCAGGCCUAAUACAUGCAAGUCGAACGGCAGCACAGUAAGAGCUCGCUCUUAAGGGUGGCGAGUGGCGGACGGGUGAGGAAUACAUCGGCAUCUACUUUUUCGUGGGGAAUAACGUAGGAAAAGUUCUGAUAACACCGCAUACGAUCAACGGGAGAAAGCAGGGGAUCUUCGCACUUUUGCUGAUUCAUUGAGCCGGUGUCGGAUUAGCUAGUUGGCGGGGUAAAGGCACACCAAGGCAACGAUCCGUAGCUGGCCCGAGAGGAUGAUCGGCCACACUGGAACGGAGACACGGUCCAGACUCCUACGGGAGGCAGCAGUAGGGAAUAUUGGACAAUGGGCGCAAGCCUGAUCCAGCCAGACCGCGUGGGUGAAGAAGGUCUUCGGGUUGUAAAGCCCUUUUGUUGGGAAAGAAAAGCAGCAGGUUAAAACAUCGCUGUUCUGACGGUACCCAAAGAAAAAGCACCGGCUAACUUCGUG
RNAcentral lists this ribosomal RNA (492 nucleotides) under uncultured bacterium. RNAcentral's name for it is "partial 16S ribosomal RNA". It matches the Rfam family "Bacterial small subunit ribosomal RNA", at positions 29 to 507 of the family's 1533-position model. The record is from RNAcentral.